Molecule: transfer RNA, 75 nt
Filed under: Eubacteriales Family XIII. Incertae Sedis bacterium
Lineage: Bacteria; Bacillati; Bacillota; Clostridia; Peptostreptococcales; Anaerovoracaceae
Description: tRNA-Glu
Rfam family: tRNA
About the family: Transfer RNA (tRNA) molecules are approximately 80 nucleotides in length. Their secondary structure includes four short double-helical elements and three loops (D, anti-codon, and T loops).
Source: RNAcentral
GCCCCGUUGGUCAAGUGGUCAAGAUGUCGCCCUCUCACGGCGGAGUCAGGAGUUCGACUCUCCUACGGGGUACCA